GAUGAACGCUAGCGGGAGGCUUAACACAUGCAAGUCGAGGGGCAGCAUAGGGUAGCAAUACUCUGAUGGCGACCGGCAGACGGGUGAGUAACGCGUAUGUAACCUACCCUGUACAGGGGGAUAACCCGGAGAAAUUCGGAUUAAUACCCCAUAAAGAUAUUAGAAGGCAUCUUUUGAUAUUUAAAGUUUCGGCGGUACGGGAUGGGCAUGCGUAACAUUAGCUAGUUGGUAGGGUAACGGCCUACCAAGGCAACGAUGUUUAGGGGUCCUGAGAGGGUGAUCCCCCACACUGGUACUGAGACACGGACCAGACUCCUACGGGUGGCUG
RNAcentral lists this ribosomal RNA (328 nucleotides) under uncultured Bacteroidota bacterium. RNAcentral describes it as "bacterial SSU rRNA". It matches the Rfam family "Bacterial small subunit ribosomal RNA", at positions 28 to 351 of the family's 1533-position model. Lineage: Bacteria; Pseudomonadati; Bacteroidota. The record is from RNAcentral.